Molecule: long non-coding RNA, 4938 nt
Organism: Bactrocera dorsalis (oriental fruit fly)
Lineage: Eukaryota; Metazoa; Arthropoda; Insecta; Diptera; Tephritidae
Exons: 3
Source: RefSeq, a predicted model, not a curated record
UGAGCCAAGUUGUAUAAUCUCCGUAAAAGAUGUUGGUGUCGCAUGGUUGAAGGUGAACUGCGGGAGGGAAAUCCAUCAUCGUGCCUUCUGAAGUCCUUUCCUUAAUGGGUGAGGUUGACGUCUGUGUUUUACGCGUAUCUACAUCUUCGUUGAUGGAAGCUAAGCAAUAGUCGUAUAUUUGACAGCUUUUUCAUGACUGGGUUCAUGACUUUCGCGAGAAAUUCUUUUGAUAACAUCGUAUGAGUGCCUUGCUAUUUCAUAAAGCGAAUUUAGUUUGACCCUUUUAAUUUUUUGGGUGUAGACCGAUUCAUCUUCACUUUGGGUCUGAGGAUGGUCUUCCACGAAUUCAAUUAAAUCCGUUGUUGUAAUUUUAAAAUUCCAUAGUUGGGUAAGAAGUUUUUAUUAUUUGGAUUGAACGAAAAAAAUAACGCAAGUCGCGUAGAUGCGCUAUUCGUAUGUAGAUACGUAAUUGCGGGUGAAUAUUUAUUUAUACUCGUACUAGCUGACUCGGCGAACUUCGCCCCGCGCAAUUUUUAUUUUUUUUUUUGGAAGUCAUAGACUCGUAUAACUUUACCACAAAUAAUAUAAACUUCAAACAACGCAUUUUCAUUUAAUGUUUUUAAUGUUUGUAGCGCCAUCUACUAUAACAUACCGCACUUACUCAAUACCGCUGUUAGCGCCACCAACUGGUGGAUAGCUCUUUGCUAAUAAUAAACAAUUAAUUUGCAAUAAAUAAAUAAUGCGACUAUAAGGAGAGUUAUAAACUAUCCUAUCUUUCAAGUUGGACCAAACUGCACACAGUGUUAAACAUUUCAUUAAAAUCGGUUCAGUAGUUUAGGAGUCCAUCGCAAACAAACUACGCGACACGUGAUUUUUAUGUAUUAAGAUAUAUAGUUUUAGUUCAACGAGAAGAAUGUAAUAGCCGACGGCAAAAUAUAUACAUAUUCUUUAAUCCAUGGAAAUGGAUUUGAACAUCCCCAAAACAUCGAUUUAUCGUGGCCGAAUAUUUGGGCUUACGAAAGGUGUGUGCACGGUUUGUUCCGCACAAAUUGACUUACGACCAAAAAUUGCUCAGAAUCCAACAUUCGCAGGACAAUUAUUUGACCAAAAAUCACAUUUUAACUAUUAACUACUCCCCAUAUUCACCUGAUAUGGCACCGUGCGACUUCUUCCUUUUCGGAAAAGUGCAUUUGCCUAUGAAAAAAGCGUUACGCAGACGUAGAGACCAUUCAAAAGGUUUGCACCGGUAUACUAGCGGCUAUACCGGUGGCACGACUUUUGGACCGUGAAAAAAGCUAUGUAUAUUGAAGCAGAAGGAGACGAUUUUGAAUAAAAUAAAUUGAUUUUCCCCAAAAACCAUUUGUUUUGUUUUUUUUUUAAGUCCUGUUUACUUUGGAAAGGUGCUUUCCAGUGCAAAUAAAAUUUUUGUCAACCCAACUGAGGCAAAUAAAUUGUGCUUAAGUCUACUUUAGGACACCAUUAGACAAUUGGGUAUUUUUUAACAACUGAUUUGCACCCUAUAUUUAUUUUUAUAUAGAAAAAAUAUUGGUCGCACUUACCGUUUUUUUUUUUUUGCUUUUGGUUAAUUUCGUUUUGUUUUUGUUUUUAGUUACUCGUUUGGGUAUUUGUUGAUUAAGCGUACAGGCUUUUUGUUUGUUUGGUGCACUUUUUUAACCCUAUCGACCCCAACUUUUCCGCGUGAAAUGAAAAUUAUUGUUUUAAUAUUAGUGGUUUUGUAUUCAUUUAACAAGUAUUUGGAAAAAAUUUUAAGUCGCCACGCCCAUCGUUUUGGGCGCUACCGGAAGUUGCUUGUGGGCAACUUUGGGCCAAGGUGGUAUAUAAAAUAAACCCUAAUUCUUUGGAAAGAUUACAAUUAUUUCUAUAUUAUUUUCAAAAUUAGGUUUGGUAUGACAAAAAGCAGUUUUGUUGUUGUUACAGCGAAGAUGGAUUUUGCAUUUAAGCCAUUUGGAUAUUGGUGUUCCUGUUUUGCGCAUUCUGCAACGUCCUUUUUCACCAAAUACAACCCAAUGUUCCAUUUUAUCAUAACGCUGAGAGUUUGAUGGAUUCGGCUGAAACCUGUACUUUUUUGACUGAGGGAAAGACAGACUACUUAUUGGGGGCAUAGUAUCUAGGGAUACUAUAGAGCUAGCCCUUUCAACAUUCGUUGGUCGUCCUCUCUUCUUUUCGAAAGUAGUAGUGGUACUACUCUGUAAAAGCUCCGUUGCAACUUCUGUUUGGAAUUCAAUAAGUCGAAAGGGUUAACGUUUAGAUUGGGUUCUGGAAUUGCAACGGUGAUGUCUGGGGGCCGAUUGCCUUUAAUUAAAAAUUACUUCGUUUAGUGUGAACGUUAUAAGUUUCUUAUUUAAUAUACAAUUGUAUAUAAAUAUAAAUAUAUGGAUGUGUGUGUGUAUUACCAAUAAUGGUUAAUUGUGUUACUUUAUAGAUAUAUGUAAUUCUAUGUUAAUUUAUUUAAUUAUUUUAACCUGCUGUGGAUUAUAGUUCCUUUCUAUGCUGUGUUGAAGUAUUUGAUUGAUGUGAUGUUUCCUUUGCAGUGUUUGCUCACUUUGUAUAGAAUUUUCCACUUCUUUGCAUUCACUUGUGUUUUAUUUCACUUUAAUGUAUAAUUUAUAUGAUAAUUUUAUGGCGGGAUGGCUUCAGAAAAAACGAGGGAAGUAAAAAGUAUUCUUCGUUUCUCCUCUUUCGUCUGUUGAGUGAAGUUGGGACGGUUGAUAUUCCUCUACAUUGUGCCUCUAUUACUUUAUGGGGUCAGUAGGGUAAUAUUUUUUCAAAAUGUUUUUUUUUUGCACUUUCUUAUACCCUUAGAAUUAAUGUAGAAACCCACUUCACCAUGUAAAGGUUUCGAAAAAGGCCUAAAAAUAAUAAUACCGCUCGACGUUCGGAGCGCUCGUAGUGACCACCUGGCUCUUUAAACGCGUUUUUCUCAAACACACACUUUUUUAAACUGGCGGACAUGAUUCGAACUACUACUGAUUCGUUAAUUCAUCUUUUCUUUAUCAACAUUUUUGCAUGAUUCUAGCAGAGACGAUAACCAUUCACGUACUUUUUAAGAAUAAAUUAGGUUUUUGUGUUUCAGAUGAUCUAAACAUGGGAAAUCGUGUCCGCCAAUGAAAAAUCGCAUCUCACUCACCCAGCCAUUUCUUUGACACAUGUUAUCAAAAAUUCCGAAAAAAUUUGUUUGUACACUCCACGAUAUAUCUCAUGAUAUGUGAAAAAAGUUCUAUGAUAGAAUAAAAAUGUCUACGAAAAAAAUGUCAAAAAACAGGCCGAUUACCCCAUUGACCCCUUAUGUAAUUUCUGGGCCCCUAUAUACUUAAAAAACCCCGCAUAUAUCGGCCAAUAAGGAAAUAUUCGAAUGAAUAUAAGAGAGCGGUUUUUUACUCAGAACAGUGUAUCUUUGAGCCUAAAAUAGAUACAUUUGAGCGGAAACUUGGCCUAGCGCCUAAAUAACUUAUAUGAGGAUUUUCGAACAUCCGGUUGUCUUUACUUUAUAUGAUUACUUUUACACCUUAAAGUAUUGCCCUGGUUUUGAUUCUUGCAAGUUGCAGAAGUACACUUAAAAUGUUCGGUUACACCCGAACUUAGCCCUACCUCACUUGUAUUGAUUAUUCUAAUUAUUUUGCUUAAUCAAUACAAAUAAAUUUUGACCCUUCCAAAGGUUAUGUAAUAAACUUUUUGCGCCAAUAUGAAAAUUUCUCCGUCUAAAGGGAUCAUAAUAGAAGCAGAAUUGAGCAUUGUUGGUCAAAGAGAAACGAUUUUGACGAUACUCAAGUGGAAAUAGCCAACUUGGUAAAUAACGAACACCAUAAUGUAGAUGAUAUAUAAUAUGACGAUUCCUCAUCUCCACAUCUUUUUAAGAUGGAAUGUGCAUUCCUAAGUUCAAAUGGCUGUUGCUACAGAGUUGUGUUCACCUAAAGAUUGUGCAUAUCACCAAAACAAAGCGAGAUAGAUAUAGGUUUAUAUACAUAUAUACAAGUGAUAAAUAUGACUAGAAAAGUUAAAAUUCCGGUGACUGUCUGUUUAUUCGUCCGUUCGUCCGACCGUGAAAGCUGUAAAUUGAAAACAAAAAAUUAAAUAGAAAACAGUGCACGCAAGUUAUUAAUAAUAAACAUAAACAAAUAUGUGAUGAGUUAUCGCAGCGAUCAGCUAAAAUGGAAAUAAAGCGACGGACGCAGUCAGCAUUAAACAGCUAUCGGGCAAUAACGAAUACACUAAUAGCAACCAGGAAGCACCCUCGCAUACCGUGAAGCACCCGGACAGCGAAAGAAAACAAGAUGCAAGAUAAGAAUGCACCAAGCAAAAAAGAACCAUCUGAUCAGACUGAUAUUGAUCGCUACAUAAACGCAAAAAGGAAAUCGAUUAUAAUUAAAUCAGCGGUCAAUACCAAAAAAUUUCAACGAAUCAUGCCGAUGGUAAAAAGCCAGAAAUUCUUAACGGCAAAAUAUUUGCCUUACUGCGCAAAGAGCCUAACGAUGAUGUACAGCAGAGAGCUGCAACGAUCACAAUUUUUUCAAUCAUACCCGAUCAUUGACUCAGAUUUUUUGUGACGGAAAACUUUGCUUCAACAAAAAUGAAUGAUCGUAAGCGAGCGUGCUCGAAGCGAACAAUCAGUUUCAAUCACUGUUGCUUGUUUCGUUAUGAUUUUUCUCUAUCGAAAGCCUUGUGUGAGCAGCAAAGAAUGUUCGAGAAUGCUGCUUGCAUUCCGAUCUAUCACAAUCAUACCGUUUGGUCAUACCGGUUGGUUCCUGCCAGCAGCGCAGUCGCUGAGCGUUCUUUUUCUUUAGCUUGAAAUAUUAUAACUGAAAAAAGAAAUAGGCUCGGACCAUGUCCAGUUGAAAGCUUAUUUUUUUUUAAAUUCGUUUUAUAAAAGUUUUAGCGAUUAAGAUUGAAACCAAAAAAUAAACCUUUUUUUAAUUUUAA